AAGUCGUAACAAGGUUUCCGUAGGUGAACCUGCGGAAGGAUCAUUACUAGAGCAAAGGAUAGACAGCGCCCGCGGAGCUCGCUCCCGGGGCUACCCUACUCCCGUAGGGUUUAGAGUCGUCGGGCCUCUCGGAGAAGCUCGGUCCUAAACUCCACCCUUGAAUAAACUACCUUUGUUGCUUUGGCGGGCCGCCUCGUGCCAGCGGCUUCGGCUGUUGAGUGCCCGCCAGAGGACCCCAACUCUUGUUUUUAGUGAUGUCUGAGUACUAUAUAAUAGUUAAAACUUUCAACAACGGAUCUCUUGGUUCUGGCAUCGAUGAAGAACGCAGCGAAAUGCGAUAAGUAAUGUGAAUUGCAGAAUUCAGUGAAUCAUCGAAUCUUUGAACGCACAUUGCGCCCUCUGGUAUUCCGGGGGGCAUGCCUGUUCGAGCGUCAUUAUAACCACUCAAGCUCUCGCUUGGUAUUGGGGUUCGCGGUUUCGCGGCCCCUAAAAUCAGUGGCGGUGCCUGUCGGCUCUACGCGUAGUAAUACUCCUCGCGAUUGAGUCCGGUAGGUCUACUUGCCAGCAACCCCUAAUUUUUUUAAGGUUGACCUCGGAUCAGGUAGGGAUACCCGCUGAACUUAAGCAUAUCAA
This 633-nucleotide ribosomal RNA is filed under the name Leptodophora orchidicola. RNAcentral's name for it is "eukaryotic LSU rRNA". The stretch from base 281 to 434 matches the Rfam family "5.8S ribosomal RNA". Lineage: Eukaryota; Fungi; Ascomycota; Leotiomycetes; Helotiales. The record is from RNAcentral.